CUAGCCCUAGCAUCUUCCCACCUAGAAGGUGAGGCCAACCAGUUGUCUCAGUGAAUGAGCCGGACUUACAGACAUAAGAUUUCGUGGAUCAAGUUUGAGGAAGAGUUGUGGGUCAGGUUUGGGUCGACCAAAUUUAAAUACCGGGUUGAGGCCCUAUCUCGCAUCAGACAGAUCAGCUCAUUGCCCGAUUACCAGAGGGAAUUUGAGCAUCUGGUCAAUAAGGUCCACGGAUGGACACAACAGGCCUUAGUUGGGACUUUUAUCGGCAGGCUUAAGCCCAAACUCACGGACGAGAUCCACAUGUUUCAGCCCAGAAGACUAGAGGAAGCUAUCAGCCUGGCCCGCGCGAGAAGAGCAAUUGGGUCGUCAAAGCAAGCUGACCCGAGUGAAGCAGGAUUCAUCCCGUCCAACCAACGCCUUCCUCACCUGAUCAGCCCCUGCGAUCCCUAGCAUCAGCCACCGUUGCUCCGAAGUGCCUAUCUUAGGAAGAAAUGCAACGUCGUAGAGUCCUGGGUUUGUGCUUCAACUACGACGAGCGCUUCACUGCUGGUCACCAGUAUCACAGCCUGCAGCUUCUGUUGCUUGAGGGCAGUCGAACAGGGGACAAAGAAACAAAAGAAUGACGAGCCUGAAAUCUCAUUGCAUGCUCCCACUGGAUGGACUGCCGCUCACACCAUGAGGGUCGCCGCAACCAUCCGCCAAUAACUGGUGAUUGCCCUCAUCAAUAGCGGCUCCACACAUAAUUUUAUUAGCAAGAAAGAGACAAGCCGACUUCGCCUUCCAGUGGUGUUUACCAAACUGUUCUAUGUGAUGGUUGCAAACGGGAAUCCCAUACAGUGUCAAGGGCGGUUCAACGACGUACCUUUACAGGUCCAAGCGACAACAAUUGCACGGUCUUGACUCACCGGCCAUCCAACUGGUAUCACCUGAAGAAAUCGAUCGGGAUUCUGCCAGCAAGUAUUCUCUAUACCAUUUGCUUGCUGCCAGAAUUUGAGAGUAGCACUCACAACUAGAUUGAGAGUGCAGAAGCUCCUGUUAGAAUUUUUGGAGCACUUCUAGGACCCUGAUCAAUUACCAUCGGUCAGGAAAGUGGACCACCAGAUCAGCCUUAAGGAAGGGAUCGAGCAGUCAAUGUUCAUCCCCUUACAGGUAUGCAUAUUUCGAUAAGGUCGAGAUUGGAAGGCAAAUGAUAGAAAUGUUCAACUCUAGCCUCAUUCAUCCAAGUACCAGUCCUUCUCAUCCCCAGUUUUGUUAGUCAGGACGAAAGAUGGUAAAUGGUGUUUUUGUGCCGAUUAUCGGGCCCCUCAAUGCAGUGAUCAUAAAAGAUAGGUCCCCCGCUUCCACCAUGGAUGAUAUUUUGGAUGAGUUACAUGGUGCCGCCUACUUCAUAUUAACAGCAGGGUACCACCAGAUUUGAGUGCAUCUGACCGAUAUUCACAAAACAGCCUUCUAAACGCAUUACGGAUAUUAUGAGUACCUUUUAAUGCCUUUUGAUUCGUACAGUGCACCCUCUAUAUUUCAAGCAGUAAUGAACUUAAUUUUUCGUC
This is a non-coding RNA of Carica papaya (papaya), 1547 nucleotides long. Lineage: Eukaryota; Viridiplantae; Streptophyta; Magnoliopsida; Brassicales; Caricaceae. The record is from RefSeq and is a predicted model, not a curated record.